GCACUGCUGAAGAGUCCAACAAUGGGACGAGACGGCCUUUCAGUGC
Molecule: non-coding RNA, 46 nt
Filed under: Schistosoma margrebowiei
Lineage: Eukaryota; Metazoa; Platyhelminthes; Trematoda; Strigeidida; Schistosomatidae
Source: RNAcentral